Schistosoma mansoni is the source of this 46-nucleotide non-coding RNA. Lineage: Eukaryota; Metazoa; Platyhelminthes; Trematoda; Strigeidida; Schistosomatidae. The record is from Rfam.
CCACUGCUGAGGAGUUCCAUAAUAAGACGAAACAAUCGUCCAGUGC